UUAACCAAAACCAAAAAGAGGUAUAUUAUUGUUAAUAAUAAAAUUGAAAUGAAUAUUUCUGGUUAAG
This 67-nucleotide transfer RNA is filed under the name Neogonodactylus bredini. Its description in RNAcentral is "tRNA-Asn". Lineage: Eukaryota; Metazoa; Arthropoda; Malacostraca; Stomatopoda; Gonodactylidae. The record is from RNAcentral.